Molecule: transfer RNA, 72 nt
Filed under: Bos taurus (domestic cattle)
Lineage: Eukaryota; Metazoa; Chordata; Mammalia; Artiodactyla; Bovidae
Also listed under: 4 other names
Rfam family: tRNA
About the family: Transfer RNA (tRNA) molecules are approximately 80 nucleotides in length.
Source: Rfam by way of RNAcentral
UCCCUGGUGGUCCAGUGGUUAGGACUCAGCACUCUCACUGCCAGGGCCAGGGUUCAGUCCCUGAUCGGGGAA